Pyrgilauda ruficollis (rufous-necked snowfinch) is the source of this 4937-nucleotide RNA transcript. It is a transcript of the gene named cilia and flagella associated protein 251, with no coding region annotated. The record is from RefSeq and is a predicted model, not a curated record. The transcript has 28 exons. Lineage: Eukaryota; Metazoa; Chordata; Aves; Passeriformes; Passeridae.
AGCUGCAGUAACCGCUGUACUGAGCGCGUUUGUGCUCAGUGUGGGAGCUCACAAGGGGCUCUGGGACCCAUUUCCCAGCUUCACAGGUGCCCUUUUCUCCUGCUGUGCCCAAUUCCAGGUGGUUGUGCAGGCAAAUCGGGAAGAGUGUGUGUUGGGAAGUAUUUCAGAGCAUCUCCACACCCCAGCUCCCUGGGAGGAGGGUGAAGGUGUGGAUGCAUGGUCCAUGUGAAGUUACGCUGGAGUAACCCACUGAGGGAGGAGCAGCACUAAGCAGUGAGCCCAGGGAGAUGUCCCAGGACAAACAGACGGCUCAGGAGAUGGAUGUGCAGCCUGAUGAGGAUCCCCUUGCUGCUGCCAGGGAGAAGAACGGAGCACCAGAGGAUAAUGAAGAGUCACCGUCAUGUCCCCGGUCAUCUCCUUUAGGCUACAGGGAGAAGCACACACGGCACAAAGGCUCUGCCAGCAUGGUGUGGGCAGCCAUGCCGGGGAUGCUGUUCCGGAAGAGCAGGGACAGCAGCUUUCACCCCCUUGACCUGUCCUGGGUGUUUGGCUACAACAGCAGCCUGGCUGUGCACAGCCUGAUGGACGGGGAGGACCGGGUGCUCCUGUAUGUCUCCUCCCACACAGUGGUCAUCCACGACAUCCUGCAGAACAGGCAGUUCCACCUGCAGGGCCACACAAAUGUCAUCUCCUGCCUGUGUGUGAGUGAAGACAAACGCUGGGUUGCGACUGCUGAUCAAGGGCCAGAUGCUAUGAUCAUCGUGUGGGACUCCUAUUCUGGGGUACCCGUGCGCACCAUCUUUGAGAGUCAUUCAGAGGACGGGGUCUGUGCCAUUGCCAUUUCCCAGGAUGCCAAGUAUUUGGUGACCAUUAGUGCUGCUACUGUGCAGAAAGUUUGUGUUUGGAGAUGGACUUUGCUCACAGAGGAACCCAUGUGCAGCACAGAGCUGAAGCCUGAGUUUGGGUAUCAGGAUUAUGUCAUUUUUAACCCUCAGAAUCCCCAUGAGUUUCUCAGCAACAGCAAAACCCAGGUGAUAUUUUACCUGUGGGAUGAUUCUGGUUUGCAGUACGGGACACCAUUCCUGAGCAACCAGACCUUCAAGUGCCUGGUGGGACAGUUCAGCCAGUCAGUUUUCCAUUUUAACAACACCCAAGCUCUGACGGGCACCUCGGCCGGGAAGCUGGUGGUGUGGGACAUGGACGAUCCCCGCACUCUCCCCGAGGAACUGCCGGCCAAACCGCACGGAGUGACAGCUGCCAAGGUGGUGGCAAUGCAGAAGGAGAGUCUUACCGUGCUCCAGGUGUUGGAGAGCUGUAUAGCCACAGGUGAUGUGAAAGGGCAGGUUAAAUUCUACGAUGGGCAGCUGCGGCUCCUCAGCAUCUACAGCCACGACAAAGUGGGUCCCAUCCAGUCCAUCUCCUUCUCCACAAUCCUUCGGGAUCCUCCCAGUGACCUCCCAGGCAGCAGCCAGCCUUUUCUCACCAGGAACUUUAUCCUUUCAACCUCUGAUGCAACCAUGUUCCAUGUUGCAACAGACAGCACAAACUUUGAAAGAAUCAUGACAGAGGCGAAGAAAGCUGUGAAUGCCAUUGCCUGCCACCCUCAGGAGCCACUCGUGGCUGUGGGGAGUCACUGUGGGCUGCUGAAGGUGUGGGAAUACAAGCAGACCCAGUACCUCGUUAGCAGGAUAUUCACUGAGGCUGGCAUCCAGUGCUUAUCCUAUGAUCCUGAAGGUCAUUUUCUGGCUGCUGGUUUUACUGAUGGAAGCGUUUACAUCCUUGAUGCAAUUUCCCUUCAGUCCAUCUGCGAGGAAUUCCAGUUCUCGCAAUGUCCCGUGACUCACAUCAGCUUCUCUCACGAUUCCAAGUACCUCGCGACCGCUGAUGAGAAUUAUUCAGUGACUGUUUACAAGAGAGUCCUGCAGAAUGGGAGCGGAUGCUGGGAACACCUGGCAGGGCUGGACUCCCACUACAAACCCAUCCGGAGCAUCCUCUUUGUGGUCCACUCUGACAGCAACGAGCCCAGGCUCCUGAGCCUGGGGGAGGACCGGCAGCUGGUUGAAUAUGACCUGAACAGCAGCAUCAAGGACCACUUGGUGGUCACAGACAGGGACAGGCUGGAGCAGUUUGCAGUGCCCCUGUGCUUGACCUGGUACCCACAGCUCGGCACCGAGUCCUUUUUCCUCACUGCCAACAACUGCUACAAAAUGAAGCUCUACAACACAAGAACCAAAAUGUGCAGAAAGACCCUUUUGGGACCAACCUAUGGCUCCCCCUUGGAGAAGAUACAAAUCCUCCCUCGGACAAGCUCUGCAGAUCCCCAGCAACACUACCUGGUGUACAUUACAAAGGACAAGGUGGGCUUGCAGAUGCUGCCUGUCGAUGGCAACCCCCACAAGUCCUCAGCCUUCAUUUGCCACCCGGACGGUGCCGCUGACUUUGCCGUCUCCCACGACGGGCGUUACGUCUUUACAGCCGGGGGGAAGGAGCGCACUUUUAUGAAAUGGAAAGUCAACCUACAUGCCUUGGAUGCUGCUGCUUUCCUGGGUGGGGAGGACUUGAUCCCAUUCUACAACCUCCUGGAUGGCGGCAGAGAAGGCAAAUUCUUCAGGGAACUGGAGGACUAUUUUUACUACGUACAGCUGUGCAGCCAAGGUAUCAAAACACUGGAGACCAGACAGGUGUCAACACAUAUUCCCCUGGAGGAAAUUCCUUCUGUAAUGAGAGCAAUAGGAUUUUAUCCAUCAGAGGAAGAGAUUGAAGAAAUGAUACAUGAAAUAAAAUUCAGCAAGUAUGCAGAUACUGGAGAAGAAGUGACAGAAAUCAAUUUAGAGGAUUUUAUCAAACUUUAUAUAAAUCAUCGACCUGCACUUGGCUUGUCAAUGAAAACCAUACAAAGAGCAUUUCAGGUUCUUGGUUAUGAUAACAAGAAGGGAGACAAAGUUAUUGACAGAGGAGACUUCCUGUCACUGCUUCAGUGCAGAGGGGAGCAGAUGACAGAGGAUGAGCUGGCUGCGUGUCUGACCACCCUGCUGGGCAGGAGACCCAGGAAAGAAGGAUCUGAACUGGACACCUACGAUCCCACAGGUGCAGCAGCUUUGACUGAAGAAGAAAUUCCAGCAGAAAUCACAGCAGAGAUAUUUGUUGCAGACAUUCUUGGCUUACCUAUUGCUGAACCAGAAAAAAAAGAACAGAAGGAAACAGAAGAAUCUUUGAUCUACAAAGGCUCAGAAUCAUAGCUGCCACUAGAUUUUCUGUUUGUUCCUAUUUUCCAGGGUCCUCUCCUCAAAUAUCUGCAAAAUUUAUGGCUUGUGUUUAUUGCAAAGUAAAGGUCACAUAGUUGCAUUUCAGUCAAACUCUAGAAUAAGUCCCCAGUUUGGCAUAUGCCACAAACCUGUAAUUUCACACCUAUAUAGGGAAACACGGAAUGGCUGGAAAGAAUGAAGCAGGUGGCCACUCCAUCCUUGGCUGGAAGCUUCCCAGAAGUCAUUUCAGGGGACUUCAUCACCCAUCCCGGUGUUCAAGGUCUGUCACAGCAACCGGUGCAAGGGUGGGAUGGGUGUCUGUCACUGCCCUGUACAAAAACAGAACCACGAGAAUCAAUCUGGUUGGAAAAGAUCUCUGGGAUCCAAGCCUUGACCGGUCACCACCUUGUCAACUAAACCACAGCACCAAGUGCCACAUCCAGUCUUUCCCUAAAGGGGAGGAGAUUCCACCGUCUCCAUGGGCAGCUCCUGAUGACCCUUUAGAGGCGAGCUGAAAUCGGAUAAACUUUCUAGUUCUGAGGGAGGUCAUAAUUCUGUGAUUUUCACCAAACUCUGUUGCAAUGCAAGUGAGUGUGAUGUGAUAAAUUCAGCAUUAUGACGUCACUUCGUGAUCACCAGCAGAAGAUGGGCACUGGGCCAGUGAGGAUCUUCUGUGAUUUGUGCAGCCUUUCCCAAACUCGCUGCCAUGGGCAGCAUCAGUAAAUUGUCAGUUCUCACUGAGUGAAAAGGAAAGUCCCUGAUCAGCAGGUUGGGAUGGUGUCUUUGCACAAAAGAUUAAAAAUCUGUCCAGUGAAGAUGCUGUGUGAGGCUGCUUUGAGAUGCUAACAGAGCUGCAUUGCAAACCCAGGAACCAGCAGUGGUAAUCUGUGACCUGAAAACUGAUCCCAGAAACGUGAUGAAAUUUCUCUGGCAUUGUGGACCUUCUUUAAAUCCCUGAUGUGCAGAGCUCAAGGAGUGCAUCCCUCAGCCGAGCAUCCCUCUCCACCCCAGCCCUGGGAGCCCCAGGCAGAGCUGCCCUGCAGCCACAUUUCCUUCCCCUUUUGUCAGUGUCACCAUUCAGGCUGGCAGGGUGUGCACACAGCAGCCAGGCUGUGCUUUCCCCUCUCUGCUAGGCUCAGCCUUGCCUUUCCCCAGAGCUGGGCUCUCCAGAGGCUGCAUUCUGCACCACGGCACUGGUUUGCUCCCUGUGAGGCUGUUGGUCCUACAGCUGGAAUUGCAGAGCUGUCUGUCAGGGGUGUGGAGUGAGCAUUAAAUUGCCAGCAGCAAAUUUCUGCCCCCCAAAUAAACCUCAGAUGGUCAAAAUGCAUCUAGAUUUCUAAUCCCAUUAAACAGCUUCAUGACAAUCAAAAACACACUGGUCUGUCUAAACCCUCUUCUGCUGUCUAGAAAUUUAAGUGAAAAUUGUAGGCAUUAAAUCUGCAUUUUCAAUUGCUGUUCUUCUUAACUUUAUCUUUAAUCCAGAUCUUAUUACUGCUACUGCAGUUACUCACCCAGUCAAGUAACAGCCCUGAGAAAUCUGGAGGUUAGCAGUGCUCUAGCAAGUUGUGAAAUGCAAAGAACAAUUUGCACAAUGCAGUGCUAAAGACGAUGUAAUAGAGAUCAUCCUACUUAAUAGCCUGUUUAAAUUCUUGACAACUUACAAUAGUAGAUCACUCUCUUCUGAAUCUGAAG